UCUUGACAUCCAGCGAACUUUCCAGAGAUGGAUUGGUGCCUUCGGGAACGCUGAGACAGGUGCUGCAUGGCUGUCGUCAGCUCGUGUUGUGAAAUGUUGGGUUAAGUCCGCAACGAGCGCAACCCUUAUCCUUUGUUGCCAGCGAUUCGGUCGGGAACUCAAAGGAGACUGCCGGUGAUAAACCGGAGGAAGGUGGGGAUGACGUCAAGUCAUCAUGGCCCUUACGAGUAGGGCUACACACGUGCUACAAUGGCGCAUACAAAGAGAAGCGACCUCGCGAGAGCAAGCGGACCUCAUAAAGUGCGUCGUAGUCCGGAUCGGAGUCUGCAACUCGACUCCGUGAAGUCGGAAUCGCUAGUAAUCGUGGAUCAGAAUGCCACGGUGAAUACGUUCCCGGGCCUUGUACACACCGCCCGUCACACCAUGGGAGUGGGUUGCAAAAGAAGUAGGUAGCUUAACCUCCGGGAGGGCGCUUACCACUUUGUGAUUCAUGACUGGGGUGAAGUCGUAACAAGGUAAGCGUACGUGU
This 529-nucleotide ribosomal RNA is filed under the name uncultured bacterium. RNAcentral's name for it is "bacterial SSU rRNA". It matches the Rfam family "Bacterial small subunit ribosomal RNA", at positions 979 to 1509 of the family's 1533-position model. The record is from RNAcentral.